AUGCCACCCCAGUUUCCUGGACCAGAAAAUGAAGUACGGUGUUAUCAGUUAGGAAAACUGCACAUGACAGUACUCAGUCAAAGCAGCAUUUUGUUUCAUGGAACGAGAAGUCUGGAGGCAGGAAGCUGCUGGCCCUGGUUCAGCCCCACAAUGUCUGGAGGACCCUUUCUGUCUUUGUCUUUUGGUCACGCCCUUCUUAGCAUGGGGGUCUUCUGUCAUCAUGCUUGUCACUUUGGGACGGUAAGAGGGCCGACACAGUGCUGGCACCGCAUCUCUACUAUAGGUAGGAGGGUGGGAAGGGGCAGAGCCGGGGGGCCACUGCUCCCAGACCUGGUCCUCUUACAUAGAAGUAAAAGCUUCCCCAGACCGGCCCCUCGUGCCCUCCAAGAGUUCCACCUAUGUCUCAUUGGGCAGAACUUGUCACGUGGUCAUCAUGCCCAGGUACAGAGGGACUGGGCCAGAGGUGUUGGGCUUUCUCGGCUUCUGUAGAGGAGGCCGCAAAGCAGAAGAGAAAGAAGAAUAAGCCCCCCAACCAGUAACAAGAGUAGCUACCAGUCCUCCUUUAGGGAAGCAAGGAGUGAUCAGAGUCUAUUUAAUUGCUUCCUUUUGUGGCACUUCUGUGUGAGUCACACUCUCCUCAGCUUCAGGAUGCAGACACCUGCUCUGGUUCUUCCACUAUUGCGAGGGCUACGUAGGGAAAUAAAGGAGACAGGAGGUUAACUCAGGCCACAUGGUCAGACCUCUGUGGUCAGGCCGGGUGGGACAAUCUGGAUGUGGUCAUUGCUCCAUUUCUUCAAUGGCAGCUCUGGCGACACUGUGACAAUAGUACCUGGUAGGUGGCUCUUCAGAAUCGGCACCUGUAGACCCCAUGACUCAAAUAUUUGGUUUCUAAGCCUCUGCUCCUGCCUUUACCAGCAGACUUAUUCCUUGUGGCUUCUACCAAAUGUCCUGAGAGAGCAUCUAUUGGACCACCUGCACUGUCCACUGGAGGAGGUGCCCUUGUGGGGCGGGGUGCUGGCUCACAGCCACCCCACCCUCUGGCUGGCCUAGCAAUGGCUUCCUUGGCCAAUGAGUGUGUGAGCAGGGGGACGGGUCAGGGACUACCACUCUUGUCACUCUUGAACAGAAGAAGGGGAGAGUGGAUGAGGUAGGCUCCCUGAGGCGACAGAGGAGGUAAUGAAACAGUGUCCAGUCUGGAUCCUCAGGCUCUCUGCUGCGCUGUGUCAAACUGGCCAUUUUUGGGGGGGAGGUGGUGCAGCUGUUUUCAUCUUUAUCAAGAGUUGUCUCUCAUUUGCUCAAAGUUAAAGCCCUAAAAGUUUUCUGCUCUACCCGAGUGUCCGAAAACUGGAAUAAAAACACAAAGCCCCUGCAUUUUUAAAAAUUUAUUUAUUUAUUUAUUUAUUUAUUUAUUUAUUUAUUUAUUUAUUUAUUUAUGAUAGUCACACAGAGAGAGAGAGAGAGAGGCAGAGACAUAGGCAGAGGGAGAAGCAGGCUCCAUGCACCGAGAGCCCGACGUGGGAUUCGAUCCCGGGUCUUCAGGAUCGCGCCCUGGGCCAAUUUUAGUAUAUGUGCUGCCGAAGCGAGCACUCGCGCCCUGGGCCAAAGGCAGGAGCCAAACCGCUGCGCCACCCAGGGAUCCCAAAACCCCUGCAUUUUUAUUGUUCUGACAGUAUGUGUUCCUAUAUACUGUUUUUUGCUUUUGUUUUUGUUUUUUAGAAAUUGAGGUAAAAUUUACCUAAAACUGAGUCUUUUGAAGUUAUAUUUAGGGCAUUAGUACACCGACUGUUUUAAAGUAUACGUAGUACGUUUGCAAUGCCGUGUAACUAUCACCUCUGUCCAGACCCAGAUGGUAAAUUUUUGAACAAGUGUAGGUGAGUGUCGGGAAUGACCCGGUCCUCGGUGCUGGAUAGAAGGACUGACCCCAGGAGCUAUCUGUUUAUGGACCUCCGCUUCUUUAUAGACUUCGCAUAAGAAAAAGAUACCCUCCUGACCUAUGUUACCAGCAGCUCUCCCAGUCCUCAGAAGCCUGCUUGUCCUCCCAAAUAUCCAUUAGCUGCAGAAGACACAGUGAGAAGCUGUUUGUUGGCUGAGGAUUUAUUGUUUAAUCAUUUUAUGGUGCCUUAGAUAGCAGUUAAAUUCACACGAGCAAACAAAUGGUGACCAAACGGAGUUAGGUACAAGGCCGUGGGUGGUUUGGUUCUGACAUGAAAAUAGAAUCCCUCCUCCCAUUCACUCUCUGGAGGAGGAAUCUUCCAAAUUAAGGCCUCACGAUGGAUUCUCAGAGGGCCAGGCCACUACUAACCUCAACAGCAAGUUUUAUGGCAAAGCCCUCUCCCCUUCCUUGGCGCUGCCACAGAAUCAGCUCAUUGGAUCCUCAUAAUUGGUCCAUGAAGGAGGCAGGGCAAGUAUUGUCAUCUCUCUGUCUCUCUCUCUCUCUCUCUCUUUUUUUUUUUUUUUUUUUUAGAUUUUAUUCAUUUAUUUCAGAGAGAGAAGAGACAGAGAUAGAGAGAAAGAGAGAGCACAAGUGGAAAGGAGAGGGAGAAGUAGGCUCCCCUCUGAGCAGGGAGCCUGACACAGGGCACCAUCUCAGGACCCUGAGAUCAUGACUCGAGCUGAAGGCAAACAUUUAUGCAACUGAGCCAGCCAGGUGCACCAGGUAUUGUCAUCUUAUAAGACCAGAGAUUCUGGGCACCUGGGUGGCUCAGUGGUUGAGAGUCUGAUUUUGGCUCAGUAACCCUGGGGUCCUGGGAUCGAGUCCCCCAUGGGGCUCCCUGCAGGGGAGCUUCUCCCUCUGCCUGUGUCUCUGCCUCUCUCUGUGUGUGUGUGUCUCUCUCAUGAAUACAUAAAUAAAAUCUUAAAAAAAAAUACCAGAGACUCUGAGAGCAUUGUCUGCCUCUCUCUUGACCACCCUACAAGGAUAAAUGGAAGAGCCCCAUAGACCCCUCCAAUUAUAAACUAGCUUGGAAGGAAUGUGCUCAGAUUUGACCUUUACCACCAGUGUUUUUUAAACUGAUGUUUUUCGAUUUAGGGGGCUAUGAACAGUGUGAACAUCAAGUGAGAGAGAACAGAAUAAUGAAUAUCAGAGUCACUGUGCUCAUAGUAGGUAUUUUUUCUUGGAAUGUUUGCUUCAGUAGAGUGUGUGCGCACACGCACGGGUGUGUAUGUGUGUGUACUGGGGCAUGAAGUAAAAUGUGUUUCCCAAUGUAGGUUAUAGUUUAACAAAGUUUGAAAGCUAUGGACAUAAAUGACUAUGGUCCGGUCAGGUCUGCUCAGAUUUGGACAUCGCCAGCCUCAGGCCUUGCCUACUGCCCUGACCCUUCAAAUAUUAGCAGGAUGAUAAUGGGCAUGUUCAGAGUCCUCGUGCCAAGCUCAUGGACACUCUACCAGGGGCAAAAAUUGAACAUGACAGUCUGCACCGAGGGCAAGUUCCAAGAACGGAAAACACAGCCCUUGUAGGGUUGUAUGACUUUUCAACUGUAAAAACAGUGUCAGUCCUGGCUUUGCUGUCCCCCCGAUAAUUUUGUGAAGGUACUUGAACAUUCUAGUGCAUUUCUAGAGCCACAGGCCAGGGCACUGACCUCCCUUACACUCCGAAGAAGCUGCUGCAGAGUGCUCUGGCUCUGGCUAAAAUUAUCCCUCUGAAGCCACCUGUUUCGUUCCUUUUAUACUUUGCCUCUCAGCAUUAGAUGUCCCAGAUCACUUGUCCCAAAUUCUUUUUCAUGGAAAAAGCCAUUAUUCCAUCUGUUGGAGGUUUUUUUUUUUUUUAAGAUUUAUUUAUUUAUUUUAGAGAGAGAGUGGGAGGAGAGGCAGAGGGAAAGGGAGAGUGAAACCCACGCUGAGCCCAGGGCCUGACGCGAGACCCAAUCUGAGGACUCGGAGAUCACCUAACCCUGAGAUCAUGACUCAGAUCAGGACCUGAGCCGAAACCAAGAGUCGGAUACUUAACCGACUGUGCCACCCACGUGCUCCUCCAUUUGUUGGAGAUCGUACUUUGCCUUUUCUCUUUUGCUUCCAAUAAGCUUAAGUCUGAUAGUUUUCUUAGGCAGUGUCUACAUGAAGGCAACCCCGAAAAUUAGAGGUAAAAUAUUUUGUCGAAUGAAUAGCUAUAAAAAAAAAUGCAGACAAUUCCAGUCAAAGCUCAGCUUGAUUUUUUUUUUCCUAUUGAAUACUUAAUUUUCUUAGCGUCCCAUAGAUUUAACUAGCCAUUUUGGUUAGUAUUUUUAACUUUUUAAAAAGUAAUCUCUAGUUGCCGAUGUAGGGCUUAAACCAAUGACCCCGAGAUUGAGAGUCACUGGCUCUUCUGACUGAGCCAGCCCAUCGCCCCAUGUUCCCAUGUUCCUAUUUGAAACUAUUAUUUAAAGAUUUUAUUUUUUUAAAUUUUUAUUUAUUUAUAAUAGUCACACACACAGAGAGAGAGAGAGAGAGGCAGAGACACAGGCAGAGGGAGAAGCAGGCUCCAUGCACCGAGAGCCCGACGUGGGAUUCGAUCCCGGGUCUCCAGGAUCGCGCCCUGGGCCAAAGGCAGGCGCCAAACCGCUGCGCCACCCAGGGAUCCCUUGAAACUAUUAUUUAAUAAAAGUUCAUUAAAAGUAUUGGGUACAAGCCUCAGGACCAAACCACUAAGAAAUGGUAAGGGCUUAACUUUUAGAUUCUUAACUAUCUAGUAAUACUAGUUUUACCUAAAGGCAGUGGGCCUUUUGGGUAUAAGCUGAGAGAAAUGUUCAGAACUCAUGAUGUUCAGAACACUCACGAUGACGAUGAUGAUAAGGACAGUGACGAUUGCGAGGUUUAUUAUAUGCAGGGUGCCCUAUUCAUUAUUUCAUUUAUUUCCUUUAAUUAUUACAAACACCUUGUGAAGAAAGUAUGACACUGAUUUCACCUUUAAGGACACUGAGAAUUAUAAAGAAGAUAUGUAACUUUUUCAGUUCUCACUAGUGAGAUGCCAGGUCCCCAAAUAACUGUGGGGUGUGUGUGUGUGUGUGUGUGUGUGUGUGUGCAAACCCAAGCUGUUCCUGAGUGUUGACAGGGGGACCAGUGGAAGUGAAGGUCAGGUUCCCAGGAGCGUGCCCCAGGGCGCCCAGGCGUGGGGCUGCGAGGGGGGCACGGGGUGCUUGGGUGAGGGACGG
This 5126-nucleotide long non-coding RNA is filed under the name Canis lupus familiaris (dog). RNAcentral's name for it is "lncRNA (ENSCAFG00845009175.1)". The record is from RNAcentral. Lineage: Eukaryota; Metazoa; Chordata; Mammalia; Carnivora; Canidae.